This 253-nucleotide ribosomal RNA is filed under the name uncultured bacterium. RNAcentral describes it as "partial 16S ribosomal RNA". It matches the Rfam family "Bacterial small subunit ribosomal RNA", at positions 524 to 776 of the family's 1533-position model. The record is from RNAcentral.
UACGUAGGGCGCAAGCGUUGUCCGGAAUUAUUGGGCGUAAAGAGCUCGUAGGCGGUUUGUCGCGUCUGUCGUGAAAGCUUGGGGCUUAACCCCAAGUCUGCGGUGGAUACGGGCAGACUAGAGGCAGGUAGGGGAGAACGGAAUUCCCGGUGUAGCGGUGAAAUGCGCAGAUAUCAGGAGGAACACCGGUGGCGAAGGCGGGUCUCUGGGCCGUAACUGACGCUGAGGAGCGAAAGCGUGGGGAGCGAACAGG